UACGUAGGGUCCGAGCGUUGUCCGGAAUUACUGGGCGUAAAGAGCUCGUAGGUGGUUUGUCGCGUUGUUCGUGAAAUCCCUCGGCUCAACUGAGGACGUGCGGAAGAAACUGCAGGGCUGGAGUCCGGGAGAGGAGGGUGGAAUUCCCAGUGUAGCGGUGAAAUGCGUAGAUAUUGGGAGGAACACCGGUGGCGAAGGCGGCCCUCUGGACCGGUACUGACGCUGAUGCGCGAAAGCGUGGGGAGCAAACGGG
RNAcentral lists this ribosomal RNA (253 nucleotides) under uncultured bacterium. RNAcentral describes it as "partial 16S ribosomal RNA". It matches the Rfam family "Bacterial small subunit ribosomal RNA", at positions 524 to 776 of the family's 1533-position model. The record is from RNAcentral.